RNAcentral lists this ribosomal RNA (497 nucleotides) under uncultured bacterium. RNAcentral's name for it is "partial 16S ribosomal RNA". It matches the Rfam family "Bacterial small subunit ribosomal RNA", at positions 28 to 507 of the family's 1533-position model. The record is from RNAcentral.
GAUGAACGCUGGCGGCGUGCCUAAUACAUGCAAGUCGAGCGAACGGACGAGAAGCUUGCUUCUCUGAUGUUAGCGGCGGACGGGUGAGUAACACGUGUAUAACCUACCUAUAAGACUGGUAUAACUUCGGGAAACCGGCGCUAAUACCGGAUAAUAUUUUGAACCGCAUGGUUCAAAAGUGAAAGACGGUCUUGCUGUCACUUAUAGAUGGAUCCGCGCUGCAUUAGCUGGUUGGUAAGGUAACGGGUUACCAAGGCAACGAUGCGUAGACGACCUGAGAGGGUGGUAGGCCACCUUGGAGGUGAGACAGGGUCCAGGGUCCUACGGGAGGCAGCAGUAGGGAAUCUUACGCAAUGGGCGAAAGCCUGACGGAGCAAGGCCGAGUGAGUGAUGAAGGUCUUCGGAGCGUAAAACUCUGUUAUGAGGGAAGAACAUAUGUGUAAGUAACUGUGCCCAUCUUGACGGUACCUAGUAAGAAAGCACCGGCUAACUACGUG